This 750-nucleotide small RNA is filed under the name Pongo abelii (Sumatran orangutan). RNAcentral describes it as "retained intron". The record is from RNAcentral. Lineage: Eukaryota; Metazoa; Chordata; Mammalia; Primates; Hominidae.
GCCCCAGAUGCAAGACGCCGACGGGCCCGCGGACUCCGGAGGGGAAGGCCGGGCAGGUGGGCCACCGCAGGUCGCCGGCGCCCAGGCGGCGCGCAGCGAGGACCGCAUGACCCUGCUCCUCAGGCUGAGAGCACAGACAAAACAACAACUCUUAGAAUAUAAAUCAAUGGUUGAUGCAAGUGAAGAAAAAACUCCAGAACAAAUUAUGCAAGAAAAGCAAAUCGAAGCUAAAAUUGAAGACCUGGAAAAUGAAAUUGAAGAGGUGAAAAUUGCCUUUGAGAUAAAAAAGCUUGCAUUAGACAGGAUGAGACUUUCAACUGCACUUAAAAAAAACCUGGAGAAAAUUAGCACCCAGUCUAGGUAUGAUUUUUUUUUUCUCUGGAUUCGGUAAGGAUAGGAUCUGCAUAGUGACUUUAGUUUUGUGAAUUUUAAAAAAUUAUUACUGCCAACUACCUUUAUCUGGGGAAUAAGGAAAGUGAUGAAAUUUUUGUAGGUCCUCCCCAGAAUUACAGCAACUUUUAUAGUUCUAAUUAUAUUUUGUUCCAUAUGGAUUGUAACUGUAAGAAGCAGAAGAGUUUAUCCAGAAGAUUGGAAAAUUUUAAGGGAAAGCUUUAAAAGUUCAUUUUCUUCAGUAUUUACUAUAAAUCAGGAACAGGGCUAUCUCAUUUAAUCCAUCCAAAACACAGUGAGAUAGGAAAUAUACUCCUCAUUUUUUAUUGAUAGAAAUGAGCUUGUUCAGAUCAAACAAUU